This 429-nucleotide ribosomal RNA is filed under the name uncultured bacterium. RNAcentral describes it as "bacterial SSU rRNA". It matches the Rfam family "Bacterial small subunit ribosomal RNA", at positions 355 to 776 of the family's 1533-position model. The record is from RNAcentral.
UGGGGGAUAUUGCACAAUGGGCGCAAGCCUGAUGCAGCGACGCCGCGUGGAGGAUGAAGGUUUUCGGAUUGUAAACUCCUGUUACGCGGGAAAAAAGACUUUGUUUAAAUAAAACAAGGGGAUGAUGGUACCGCGAGAGAAAGCACCGGCAAACUUCGUGCCAGCAGCCGCGGUAAUACGAAGGGUGCGAGCGUUAUUCGGAAUAACUGGGUGUAAAGCGCGUGAAGGCGGCUUUAUAAGUCGUUUGUAAAAGAGCUCAGCUUAACUGGGUAAAUGCAGAUGAAACUGUAGAGCUAGAGUACGGGAGAGAAGAGUGGAAUUCUCGGAGUAGCGGUAAAAUGCGUAGAUCUCGAGAGGAACACCGGUUGCGAAGGCGGCUCUUUGGCCCGAAACUGACGCUAAAGCGCGAAAGCGUGGGUAGCAAACAGG